GUCGGUGUUGAUUGCAAUGAGGGUCCACCCGUUCCCAUCCCGAACACGGUAGUUAAGCUCAUUUGCGCCGAAGAUACUUGGCUGGAAGCGGCCCGGAAAAAUAGGUAAUGCCGACA
RNAcentral lists this ribosomal RNA (116 nucleotides) under Clostridia bacterium. The record is from RNAcentral. Lineage: Bacteria; Bacillati; Bacillota; Clostridia.